GCGUGCCUAACACAUGCAAGUCGAACGAAGCUUGAUUUCUGAUUUUUUCGGAAUGACGAAUGAUAUGACUGAGUGGCGGACGGGUGAGUAACGCGUGAGCACCCUGCCCUUCGGAACGGGAUAGUGUCUGGAAACGGACAGUAAUACCGUAUAACAUAUAUUGAUCGCAUGGUCGAUAUAUCAAAACUGAGGUGCCGAAGGAUGGGCUCGCGUCUGAUUAGAUAGUUGGGGGGGUAACGGCCUACCAAGUCGACGAUCAGUAGCCGGACUGAGAGGUUGAACGGCCACAUUGGGACUGAGACACGGCCCAGACUCCUACGGGAGGCAGCAGUGGGGAAUAUUGCACAAUGGGGGAAACCCUGAUGCAGCGACGCCGCGUGAAGGAAGACGGUUUUCGGAUUGUAAACUUCUGUUCUUAGUGAAGAAUAAUGACGGUAGCUAAGGAGCAAGCCACGGCUAACUACGUGCCAGCAGCCGCGGUAAUACGUAGGUGGCAAGCGUUGUCCGGAAUUACUGGGUGUAAAGGGAGCGUAGGCGCGAUGCCAAGUCAGCUGUGAAAACUAUGGGCUUAACUUGUAGACUGCAGUUGAAACUGGUAUUCUUGAGUGAAGUAGAGGUUGGCGGAAUUCCGAGUGUAGCGGUGAAAUGCGUAGAUAUUCGGAGGAACACCGGUGGCGAAGGCGGCCAACUGGGCUUUAACUGACGCUGAGGCUCGAAAGUGUGGGGAGCAAACAGGAUUACAUACCCUGGUAGUCCACACUGUAAAC
This 767-nucleotide ribosomal RNA is filed under the name uncultured bacterium. Its description in RNAcentral is "bacterial SSU rRNA". It matches the Rfam family "Bacterial small subunit ribosomal RNA", at positions 42 to 807 of the family's 1533-position model. The record is from RNAcentral.